AUUGAACGCUGGCGGCAGGCCUAACACAUGCAAGUCGAACGGUAACAGGAAACAGCUUGCUGUUUCGCUGACGAGUGGCGGACGGGUGAGUAAUGUCUGGGAAACUGCCUGAUGGAGGGGGAUAACUACUGGAAACGGUAGCUAAUACCGCAUAACGUCGCAAGACCAAAGAGGGGGACCUUCGGGCCUCUUGCCAUCGGAUGUGCCCAGAUGGGAUUAGCUAGUAGGUGGGGUAACGGCUCACCUAGGCGACGAUCCCUAGCUGGUCUGAGAGGAUGACCAGCCACACUGGAACUGAGACACGGUCCAGACUCCUACGGGAGGCAGCAGUGGGGAAUAUUGCACAAUGGGCGCAAGCCUGAUGGAGCCAUGCCGCGUGUAUGAAGAAGGCCUUCGGGUUGUAAAGUACUUUCAGCGGGGAGGAAGGGAGUAAAGUUAAUACCUUUACUCAUUGACGUUACCCGCAGAAGAAGCACCGGCUAACUCCGUG
This 490-nucleotide ribosomal RNA is filed under the name uncultured bacterium. RNAcentral describes it as "partial 16S ribosomal RNA". It matches the Rfam family "Bacterial small subunit ribosomal RNA", at positions 30 to 507 of the family's 1533-position model. The record is from RNAcentral.